CAUGUAGGCGGUCUGCUAAGUUCGGAGUGACAGUCACCAGCUUAACUGGUGAAGGACUUUGAAAACUGGCGGACUUGAGAGCGAAAGAGGGACAUGGAAUUCCGGGUGGAGCAGUGAAAUGCGUAGAGAUCCGGAGGAACACCAAAGGCGAAGGCAGUGUCCUGGCUCGUUUCUGACGCUGAGGUGCGAAAGCCAGGGGAGCGAACGGGAUUAGAUACCCCGGUAGUCCUGGCCGUAAACGAUGACCACCAGGUGUGGGAGGGAUCGACCCCUUCCGUGCCGUAGUCAACACAUUAAGUGCCCCGCCUGGGGAGUACGGCCGCAAGGUUAAA
This 332-nucleotide ribosomal RNA is filed under the name uncultured bacterium. RNAcentral describes it as "bacterial SSU rRNA". It matches the Rfam family "Bacterial small subunit ribosomal RNA", at positions 568 to 898 of the family's 1533-position model. The record is from RNAcentral.